Molecule: long non-coding RNA, 298 nt
Filed under: Panicum hallii
Lineage: Eukaryota; Viridiplantae; Streptophyta; Magnoliopsida; Poales; Poaceae
Description: long non-coding RNA (PHAL_LNC000344)
Source: RNAcentral
GGUAAUGUCUGGAAAACCCUACUCUUCCCUUGCUUGGCCCUGUGCUCUUUCAGAAGGUUGGUCCGUGGAAUGGGGUCCAUCCCCGACCAACAUUGGUGAUACCGAGUGAUGUCGUGCCCGGGCUUAGCAUGACAUCCGUCUUGACGACGUGUUGUAAUCAUCGCGUAUGUUUUUCGCUGCCAAAAAUCAUAGUUUUAACACUUUGUAAUGUUUUCUCUAAAUUUGAAACUUUGUACUUCUUUUGGAAACUCUUGUAAUGUAAAUCCCUAUGAUGUAAAAAUGUGAUGGUGAUUGUAUC